GGUUGACCUCGGAUCAGGUAGGGAUACCCGCUGAACUUAAGCAUAUCAAUAAGCGGAGGAAAAGAAACCAACCGGGAUUGCCUCAGUAACGGCGAGUGAAGCGGCAAGAGCUCAAAUUUGAAAUCUGGCCCCUCCGGGGUCCGAGUUGUAAUUUGUUGAGGAUGCUUCGGGUGCGGCCCCCGUCUAAGUGCCCUGGAACGGGCCAUCGGAGAGGGUGAGAAUCCCGUCUGGGACGGGGUGUCCGCGUCCAUGUGAAGCUCCUUCGACGAGUCGAGUUGUUUGGGAAUGCAGCUCUAAAUGGGUGGUAAAUUUCAUCUAAAGCUAAAUACUGGCCGGAGACCGAUAGCGCACAAGUAGAGUGAUCGAAAGAUGAAAAGCACUUUGAAAAGAGAGUUAAACAGCACGUGAAAUUGUUGAAAGGGAAGCGCUUGCGACCAGACUCGCUUCCGGGGUUCAGCCGGCUUUCGGGCCGGUGUACUUCCCCGGGGGCGGGCCAGCGUCGGUUUGGGCGGCCGGUCAAAGGCCCCUGGAAUGUAACGCCUCUCGGGGCGCCUUAUAGCCAGGGGUGUCAUGCGGCCAGCCUGGACCGAGGAACGCGCUUCGGCACGGACGCUGGCAUAAUGGUCGUAAACGACC
This 636-nucleotide ribosomal RNA is filed under the name Aspergillus chevalieri. Its description in RNAcentral is "eukaryotic LSU rRNA". It matches the Rfam family "Eukaryotic large subunit ribosomal RNA", at positions 1 to 649 of the family's 3401-position model. Lineage: Eukaryota; Fungi; Ascomycota; Eurotiomycetes; Eurotiales; Aspergillaceae. The record is from RNAcentral.